GCCCAGGUGGCGGAACUGGCAGACGCGCUAGCUUGAGGGGCUAGUGUCCUAUUACGGACGUGGAGGUUCGAAUCCUCUCCUGGGCA
RNAcentral lists this transfer RNA (86 nucleotides) under Gemmatimonadota bacterium. RNAcentral's name for it is "Gemmatimonadetes bacterium tRNA-Leu". It matches the Rfam family "tRNA". Rfam says of the family: Transfer RNA (tRNA) molecules are approximately 80 nucleotides in length. Their secondary structure includes four short double-helical elements and three loops (D, anti-codon, and T loops). Lineage: Bacteria; Pseudomonadati; Gemmatimonadota. RNAcentral also lists the same sequence under 5 other names. The record is from RNAcentral.